This 84-nucleotide transfer RNA is filed under the name Danio rerio (zebrafish). RNAcentral's name for it is "tRNA-Leu (CAA) (tRNA-Leu-CAA-44 1 to 4)". It matches the Rfam family "tRNA". Rfam says of the family: Transfer RNA (tRNA) molecules are approximately 80 nucleotides in length. The record is from RNAcentral. Lineage: Eukaryota; Metazoa; Chordata; Actinopteri; Cypriniformes; Danionidae.
GUCAGAAUGGCCGAGUGGUCUAAGGCGCCAGACUCAAGUUCUGGUCUCCUGAUGGAGGCGUGGGUUCAAAUCGCACUUCUGACA